GACGAACGCUGGCGGCGUGCUUAACACAUGCAAGUCGAACGGAAAGGCCCCCUUUUGGGGUACUCGAGUGGCGAACGGGUGAGUAACACGAGAGUAACAUACCCUUGACUAUGGUAUAACUUCAGGAAACAGGUGCUAAUACUGCAUAGUAGCUCCUGCUGCAUGGUGGGGGUGGGUAGGUUUCGGCGGUUGGGGAUGGACUCGCGGCUUAUCAGCUUGUUGGUGGGGUAGUGGCUCACCAAGGCUUUGACGGGUAGCCGGCCUGAGAGGGUGACCGGCCACAUUGGGACUGAGAUACGGCCCAGACUCCUACGGGAGGCAGCAGUGGGGAAUAUUGCACAAUGGGCGGAAGCCUGAUGCAGCAACGCCGCGUGCGGGAUGACGGCCUUCGGGUUGUAAACCGCUUUCGCCUGUGACGAAGCGUGAGUGACGGUAAUGGGUAAAGAAGCACCGGCUAACUACGUG
Molecule: ribosomal RNA, 465 nt
Filed under: uncultured bacterium
Lineage: Bacteria
Description: partial 16S ribosomal RNA
Rfam family: Bacterial small subunit ribosomal RNA
Source: RNAcentral